GUGCUCGCUUCGGCAGCACAUAUACUAAAAUUGGAACGAUACAGAGAAGAUUAGCAUGGCCCCUGCGCAAGGAUUGGCAAGAACUUCAAGACUCUGAAGAAGGAAAU
Small nuclear RNA from Apodemus sylvaticus (European woodmouse), 107 nucleotides. The record is from RefSeq and is a predicted model, not a curated record. NCBI's taxonomy places the organism in Eukaryota, Metazoa, Chordata, Mammalia, Rodentia, Muridae.